This is a long non-coding RNA of Callorhinchus milii (elephant shark), 790 nucleotides long. RefSeq lists it as uncharacterized. The record is from RefSeq and is a predicted model, not a curated record. The transcript has 3 exons. Lineage: Eukaryota; Metazoa; Chordata; Chondrichthyes; Chimaeriformes; Callorhinchidae.
GCUUAGUAUCUGGUGUCCUCUGGUGAUUUCAACUGCAUACAGUCCAUGAAACCAAGAAAGUUGUGCACACAAGAAAGGGGAUCCCAGCAAAGGCCUUUGCGACACUCUCUAGAUCAGAUGAAGACAACCAACAUCAGCAAUCCAACAACACAGAAAUCAUAGACUUGGCAGCAACUAGUUGUGCAUGAUUGUCCUCUUCAUAUUGAUACUGAAACCUUUAUACAGCAUGGAAAGAUCAGAGGGUGAAGCAGGACCAGAUUAGGACAAGGACAUGUGUGGCGGCAGGUACAGUUGUUUUUAUUUUAUUUAGGUCUAAGCUUGAGCAGCAGUUUAAGCGCUCUGGGAUGCCAACCUGCAAGAUAAUAUAAAAGCAAUAUAAAUGCAAGUUGUUUUGUCUGGACAGUAUUGCCAUUAUAUUGAUAAAUAUUGUAACCUUUUUACUUUUCUUUCCAGCAAGGAGAGGUUGGAGGGCACUAUAGGAGCAGAUUAGAACAGGUUUGUUUCCUCUUUGUUUAUUGUCUUCUUUAUCGAGAUCAAUUUUGAAAUCUUUAUACUUUGUUUUCCAGCCGGAGCCGGAAAGAAUCCCUGUCCCCACUGACUGGUGUGCCUGGCCAAAUGCUUCCAAUGACUAAUGCUGGCUAAUGUCAUUACAUGUGCUGUGAAGUACCGGAGACUCGCCUAACUUGGGAACUGCAAUAUUGUGACUGCCACAGAGGAUUGUUCGUCUCUUGCCCCUCCGCUCCCUCCUCGGCAACCGUACUUUCAGCCACGAUGCCCAAAGCUCUGGAAC